Molecule: ribosomal RNA, 2763 nt
Filed under: Escherichia coli
Lineage: Bacteria; Pseudomonadati; Pseudomonadota; Gammaproteobacteria; Enterobacterales; Enterobacteriaceae
Description: partial 23S ribosomal RNA
Rfam family: Bacterial large subunit ribosomal RNA
Source: RNAcentral
CACACUAUCAUUAACUGAAUCCAUAGGUUAAUGAGGCGAACCGGGGGAACUGAAACAUCUAAGUACCCCGAGGAAAAGAAAUCAACCGAGAUUCCCCCAGUAGCGGCGAGCGAACGGGGAGCAGCCCAGAGCCUGAAUCAGUGUGUGUGUUAGUGGAAGCGUCUGGAAAGGCGCGCGAUACAGGGUGACAGCCCCGUACACAAAAAUGCACAUGCUGUGAGCUCGAUGAGUAGGGCGGGACACGUGGUAUCCUGUCUGAAUAUGGGGGGACCAUCCUCCAAGGCUAAAUACUCCUGACUGACCGAUAGUGAACCAGUACCGUGAGGGAAAGGCGAAAAGAACCCCGGCGAGGGGAGUGAAAAAGAACCUGAAACCGUGUACGUACAAGCAGUGGGAGCCUCUUUAUGGGGUGACUGCGUACCUUUUGUAUAAUGGGUCAGCGACUUAUAUUCUGUAGCAAGGUUAACCGAAUAGGGGAGCCGAAGGGAAACCGAGUCUUAACUGGGCGUUAAGUUGCAGGGUAUAGACCCGAAACCCGGUGAUCUAGCCAUGGGCAGGUUGAAGGUUGGGUAACACUAACUGGAGGACCGAACCGACUAAUGUUGAAAAAUUAGCGGAUGACUUGUGGCUGGGGGUGAAAGGCCAAUCAAACCGGGAGAUAGCUGGUUCUCCCCGAAAGCUAUUUAGGUAGCGCCUCGUGAAUUCAUCUCCGGGGGUAGAGCACUGUUUCGGCAAGGGGGUCAUCCCGACUUACCAACCCGAUGCAAACUGCGAAUACCGGAGAAUGUUAUCACGGGAGACACACGGCGGGUGCUAACGUCCGUCGUGAAGAGGGAAACAACCCAGACCGCCAGCUAAGGUCCCAAAGUCAUGGUUAAGUGGGAAACGAUGUGGGAAGGCCCAGACAGCCAGGAUGUUGGCUUAGAAGCAGCCAUCAUUUAAAGAAAGCGUAAUAGCUCACUGGUCGAGUCGGCCUGCGCGGAAGAUGUAACGGGGCUAAACCAUGCACCGAAGCUGCGGCAGCGACGCUUAUGCGUUGUUGGGUAGGGGAGCGUUCUGUAAGCCUGUGAAGGUGUGCUGUGAGGCAUGCUGGAGGUAUCAGAAGUGCGAAUGCUGACAUAAGUAACGAUAAAGCGGGUGAAAAGCCCGCUCGCCGGAAGACCAAGGGUUCCUGUCCAACGUUAAUCGGGGCAGGGUGAGUCGACCCCUAAGGCGAGGCCGAAAGGCGUAGUCGAUGGGAAACAGGUUAAUAUUCCUGUACUUGGUGUUACUGCGAAGGGGGGACGGAGAAGGCUAUGUUGGCCGGGCGACGGUUGUCCCGGUUUAAGCGUGUAGGCUGGUUUUCCAGGCAAAUCCGGAAAAUCAAGGCUGAGGCGUGAUGACGAGGCACUACGGUGCUGAAGCAACAAAUGCCCUGCUUCCAGGAAAAGCCUCUAAGCAUCAGGUAACAUCAAAUCGUACCCCAAACCGACACAGGUGGUCAGGUAGAGAAUACCAAGGCGCUUGAGAGAACUCGGGUGAAGGAACUAGGCAAAAUGGUGCCGUAACUUCGGGAGAAGGCACGCUGAUAUGUAGGUGAGGUCCCUCGCGGAUGGAGCUGAAAUCAGUCGAAGAUACCAGCUGGCUGCAACUGUUUAUUAAAAACACAGCACUGUGCAAACACGAAAGUGGACGUAUACGGUGUGACGCCUGCCCGGUGCCGGAAGGUUAAUUGAUGGGGUUAGCGGUAACGCGAAGCUCUUGAUCGAAGCCCCGGUAAACGGCGGCCGUAACUAUAACGGUCCUAAGGUAGCGAAAUUCCUUGUCGGGUAAGUUCCGACCUGCACGAAUGGCGUAAUGAUGGCCAGGCUGUCUCCACCCGAGACUCAGUGAAAUUGAACUCGCUGUGAAGAUGCAGUGUACCCGCGGCAAGACGGAAAGACCCCGUGAACCUUUACUAUAGCUUGACACUGAACAUUGAGCCUUGAUGUGUAGGAUAGGUGGGAGGCUUUGAAGUGUGGACGCCAGUCUGCAUGGAGCCGACCUUGAAAUACCACCCUUUAAUGUUUGAUGUUCUAACGUUGACCCGUAAUCCGGGUUGCGGACAGUGUCUGGUGGGUAGUUUGACUGGGGCGGUCUCCUCCUAAAGAGUAACGGAGGAGCACGAAGGUUGGCUAAUCCUGGUCGGACAUCAGGAGGUUAGUGCAAUGGCAUAAGCCAGCUUGACUGCGAGCGUGACGGCGCGAGCAGGUGCGAAAGCAGGUCAUAGUGAUCCGGUGGUUCUGAAUGGAAGGGCCAUCGCUCAACGGAUAAAAGGUACUCCGGGGAUAACAGGCUGAUACCGCCCAAGAGUUCAUAUCGACGGCGGUGUUUGGCACCUCGAUGUCGGCUCAUCACAUCCUGGGGCUGAAGUAGGUCCCAAGGGUAUGGCUGUUCGCCAUUUAAAGUGGUACGCGAGCUGGGUUUAGAACGUCGUGAGACAGUUCGGUCCCUAUCUGCCGUGGGCGCUGGAGAACUGAGGGGGGCUGCUCCUAGUACGAGAGGACCGGAGUGGACGCAUCACUGGUGUUCGGGUUGUCAUGCCAAUGGCACUGCCCGGUAGCUAAAUGCGGAAGAGAUAAGUGCUGAAAGCAUCUAAGCACGAAACUUGCCCCGAGAUGAGUUCUCCCUGACUCCUUGAGAGUCCUGAAGGAACGUUGAAGACGACGACGUUGAUAGGCCGGGUGUGUAAGCGCAGCGAUGCGUUGAGCUAACCGGUACUAAUGAACCGUGAGGCUUAACCUU